ACUAGUCAACUGCAUGGCCGAGGGCAGCAACGCCGGCGGUUUCCGAACAGUUCCCACAAGCGAUCUUGCACAGCAAUGCCAAUGCACUUGAAACCACCAAAGACGUCGAAACACCCAAGAUUGACGAGUUGAGCUCAUUUUGAUUUCGGCCGGCAAUUUUUAUUUGUCGAGUGUGUGGCCAUUUCUCAACGUUACGAUUUAAAAAGAGUAUCAUUGAAAAGAUAAGGCCAAAAAAAUGUGGGUUUCCGGUUUCCCGACCCUAUCUAGCUUUUGGACGUCGAAAUCCCGACCCUAAACUUUUUUUAUUGGAUCAUGCAUGUAAAUGUUUCCACUUAGAGGAAAAAGUUUGCGGAAAAUUGAAAUUUGAGGCAAUAUUAGGGAAAUUUAUCUUUGGAUGUGGAAGCACUGACUAAACAAAAUGGCGUCCGCUUGUUCGGAAAAUUAAAAAAAAAGGUUUAAAAAAAAAAGUUAAAACCGACCUACCCUACCUAAGUUUUUAUAAGAAGAAACCGAAAACCCACAUUUUUUUACCUAAAUGACUGUUCUUUCGUCCUAUGUAAAAAUUGAAUUGUUUAGCCAUGACUUUUAUGAUGCACGACAGCCUGUCGAAUUUCCACUGCG
Paramuricea clavata is the source of this 621-nucleotide non-coding RNA. Lineage: Eukaryota; Metazoa; Cnidaria; Anthozoa; Malacalcyonacea; Plexauridae. The record is from the annotation of a GenBank genome assembly.